CACACUGUAAACGAUGAUAACUCGCUGUCGGCGAUACACCGUCGGUGGCCAAGCGAAAGCGAUAAGUUAUCCACCUGGGGAGUACGACCGCAAGGUUGAAACUCAAAGGAAUUGACGGGGGCCCGCACAAGCGGAGGAACAUGUGGUUUAAUUCGAUGAUACGCGAGGAACCUUACCCGGGCUCGAACGGUGCAUGAAUAGAUCAGAGAUGGUUUAGUCCUUCGGGACAUGUAUCGAGGUGC
Molecule: ribosomal RNA, 242 nt
Filed under: uncultured Bacteroidota bacterium
Lineage: Bacteria; Pseudomonadati; Bacteroidota
Description: uncultured Bacteroidetes bacterium partial 16S ribosomal RNA
Rfam family: Bacterial small subunit ribosomal RNA
Source: RNAcentral